RNAcentral lists this unclassified non-coding RNA (4917 nucleotides) under Mizuhopecten yessoensis (Yesso scallop). RNAcentral's name for it is "dNA ligase 3-like, transcript variant X3". Lineage: Eukaryota; Metazoa; Mollusca; Bivalvia; Pectinida; Pectinidae. The record is from RNAcentral.
ACUUUCUUCAAAUAACCGAGGGUGUCUGCAAUAACAAAACUUGCUUGUUUAGCAUUUAUACAGGUAAUAUGAUGAUGGAGGUUUUGUGCAAGGCAGAGUGAAACAAUUCCUUGUUGAAUGUGGAGUGAAGUAAUUUCAUGCUAAGGUAUCAAAGGGGUGUUUUCUGUUUAUACAGAAUAUCUAGAUACAUUAGCUUAUCUUCAGCUCCGGUAAAGUCACCUACGAGUAUUGUAACACAGUCAUGUCUUACCAAUUUUACCUGUGAUUCAAACUUUAGUAACAAUUUGUUGACAAGGAAAUCAGCCCCUUGGACCACUUUGACUUUGUCGAGAACCAAGAAUUACUGUAAAAUGGCUGAUAAUAGAUAUGUUAUUGGAUACGCAAAGCUCGGCACGUCUGGUUGUAAGGGCUGUAAGACGAAGAUUGAAAAGGGUUCUUUGAGGAUUGGGAAAGUGACCGCCAAUCCGUUUGGUGGGGAUGGAGACAUGAAGCAGUGGUAUCACCCUAGCUGUAUCUUCAACACUUUCAAGCGAGCCCGCGCUACGACCAAGAAAAUAGAAGAACCUGAUGACAUGGAAGGAUUUUCAGAAAUUCAACAGGAAGAUAAAGAUAUGAUCAACAAGCUAAUAAAAGAAAACCUUGGAAAUUCUAAAACACCAAGCAAGAAAACUCCAAAGGCUGUGACUCCCAAAAAGGUUGUUGCCUCUCCAGCUGCUGCCAAGUUUACCCCAGCUAAAUCUUACAAUGAUGAUGAGGAAGAUGCUGUUGUGCCCUCAACAUCCUCCAAGAUGCCGGAUGAUAAUGGGGAGCGAGAUGAUGCAUUCCGUGAAUUCCGACGUCUAUCUGCUGAAAUUGCUGAUGAGAGUAGUUACAACUCCAAGACUGCUCUGGUCUCAAAAUACCUCACCAAAGGAACGACUGGAGAGGGCUACACAGGUAACACCUAUCUACUUCUGAAGCUGCUACUGCCAGGAGUUGUGAAACGAGUAUACAACCUGAACAACAAGCAACUUGUCAAAUUAUUUAGUCAGAUCUUUGGAACCAGUCUGCAGGCAAUGGUGGCUGAUCUUGAUCAGGGAGAUGUUGCCGAGACGGUGAAGAUAUUUUUUGAACAGAGUAAAAGUUUGAUGCCCGCAAAGAAAAGUGCACUGACAUUACAACAGGUGGACUAUUUACUCGAGGAACUCUCGCUUGUAACAAAGGAAGAUGACCAGCAGAGGAUUCUCACAAAAAUAGCAAAACGAUGUACACUAAACGACCUGAAGAUGGUCAUACGGCUGGUAAAACAUGACUUGAGGAUCAACGCUGGAGCUAAACACAUUCUUGAAGGUUUAGACCCCAAUGCCUACGCAGCGUUCCAGGCCUCGAGGGAUCUCCAGGAUGUUGUUGACCGGGUCCGCCAAAACUUAGAGGAGGGAGGUGGUAAACCUGGGAUGGCCAAGAAACUGAGUGUCAGGGCUAAUCUCAUGACUCCAGUUCUACCGAUGCUUGCUGAAGCGUGUAGAUCUGUUGAGUUUGCCAUGAAGAGAUGUCCCAAAGGUUUCUAUGCAGAGAUUAAGUAUGACGGUGAAAGGGUACAGCUACACAAGAAAGGACCAAAGUUCUCUUACUUCAGCCGGAGUCUUAAACCUGUACAACCACAUAAGGUGGAGCACUUUAAGGAAUACAUUCCGAAGGCUUUCCCUUCGGCGGACGACCUCAUUCUGGACGCAGAGGUGUUACUAGUGGAUACAAACACAGGAAAGCCCCUCCCCUUUGGUACACUAGGAGUCCACAAGAAAGCUCAGUUCAAUGAUGCCAAAGUGUGCUUGUUUGUGUUUGACUGUCUUCACAUUAACGGGGAGAACAUCAUGGACAAGCCAGUAAAGACUAGAAGAAGAAUCCUGCAUGAAAAUAUGACGGAGAUUGAACAUCGUAUCAUGUUCUCAGAGAUGCAGCAUAUCAGGGAGCCAGAUGACCUACAGGACUUGAUGAACGAUGUGUUUAGACAGGGGUUGGAGGGACUUGUUCUCAAGGACAUUAAUGGGAUCUAUGAGCCAGGGAAGAGACAUUGGUUGAAGAUAAAGAAGGACUACCUGGAACAGGGCACAAUGGCUGACUCUGCUGACCUGGUGGUAUUAGGGGCCUACUUUGGAUCGGGAAACAAAGGUGGGAUCAUGUCAGUUUUCCUGUUUGGAGUUCAUGACCCUGAUACUGACCAGUGGUGUACAGUCACCAAGUGUCACAGCGGACUGGACGACAAGACCCUGGACGAACUCCAGACUAAGAUGGAUAUGAUCAAAAUAAGUAAGGAUGCAAGUAAGAUUCCUGACUGGUUGAACAUAAAAAAGCAAGUGAUUCCUGACUUUGUGAUCCGUAACCCAAAGAAGGCACCAGUAUGGGAGAUAGCUGGAGCCGAGUUUACUCAGGCCGAGAUCCAUACUGCAGAUGGCAUCAGCAUUCGGUUUCCCCGUAUCACUAAGUUUCGUGACGAUAAAAGCUGGAAGGAGGCUACGAAUCUCCCAAGGCUAAAGGAACUGUUUAAGAAAUCCAAGGAGACAACAGACCUGUUUCCCAGCCCUAAAAAAGGCAAGACUGCUGUCAAACGGAAAGGGAGCCAGGACAGUAAUGAUGACAACAGCAAUGGUAAUAGUAAUGGCCACUCAGAACACAGGGGGUCAGCACCUUCUACACCCUCCAAAGGUCGGGGGUCGUCACCUGUAACCCCCUCCAAGACCACGCCCAGUAAGAUGGGGAGUCUGACAGGCUGGGUCAAAAGGGGUGAAAAAAGGUCAAGGUCAGAAGAUAGUGAUGAAGCCUCAUCACCAAAGAAAAAAGUAUCGCAAAGUUCUCCUUCAAAGAAAAUGGAUGAGGAAUCGCCAAGGAAGAAGUCCUCUAAUAAACCUGUGUGUAAAUAUGGAAGUGACUGUUACCAAACUAACCCUGCCCACAUAGAGCAGUUUUACCACCCAACAGACAACAAGCUACCCAAACCAGGGGAGAAAUUACCAAAUGUGUUUUCUGGAACAAAAAUAUUCUUGCCUGAAGACACAGACAAAUACAGGCUGCUGAAGCGAUACAUCAUCGGAUUUGAUGGAGAUCUUGUGGACGACUUUCAGAAGAAAACAGCAACCCAUGUUAUUGUUAAACCAGGGGAGGUGGUGUCGACCACAGGUGUAUGUGUCACGGUGGAGUGGCUGUGGAGCAGCAUCAAAAAGAAGGUGAAGGUGCCCCUGCAGAAUUUCCGUGUCACAUGAUCAAGUUCUUAUGUGAUCAAUUGUUUGUGAGACGUGAUAUGAUAAAGUUUUAAUAUUGACUGGGCAUCCACAGAAUGAUAUUGCAAACAGUGAACACGAAUCAUUCUCAGAUUAAGACAUUUUAUCCUGGAUGUAAAUCCUGACUUUGUACGAACAUCCUGUACACGUAGGAAACUUCCUUUUGUAUUAACCAGUUUGUAUAUGAAUGUGAACAGAUACUAGAUUUGUUCAUACCUUACUUAAACCCGGGUACCCUACGACUGUUACCGUAGUCGUAGCGUUAUUCUGGAGCUGUGUGUAUAAUGUAUGGGAGAUGAUGAUAAGUAUGGGAUGUGCUACUCAGAGAAAAUUGAAGUGUUAUGGAAGUAAUUGUUUAAGGGUUAUUACAGUACCUAUACUGACAGAUUACCCUUUUACUAGAUGGUUUUGCUAACUCAGGGAAAACAAUUCUAUGUUGUAACUUAAUAUCAUGUAUAAAGAUGAAAAAACAAAUUCAAGUCACAACCAAUUUUUAAUAUACUUUUAGUUAAACAUUAUUUUUUGGCAACAAGCUGAUUUUUUAUUUUUGAUGCACGCUUUAUUGAUCAUAGACAUGAAUAUAUAUAAGAUGUUGUGUCUGGAAAGUCAAUAUUUCAACUAUUACAGCUUACGGUAAUUUAAUUUAUACAUAUAUGAUCAUUGUCAUUAAUACAUUAUACACUUAUUUGUGUGAAAAUCUGUGUGACUACCCAUGAUUUGUGAUGAAUUUGGAAUUUGAGGUUUUGCAUGCAAACAUGUGUACUUUUACAUAAUUUAUGGUCAUUAGUGAUUACAAGAAUCAUUUUGUGUCUGGCAGCUAUGAAAUGAACCGGUUGAUAAUCAAAUCACUAAAUAGGAAAGUUACCUGCUCAUUGCCAUUGUAAAAUCAUUUUACAUUUUAUUAUCAAACAACUUGACAGCCAUUUUACUAAGAUGGUUCACAAGUUAUUUGAUAAACGUCAUAAUGAUAGCUGUAUUGUUUCCUCUUUGAAGCUUCAUACAAACGUCUGCAGGUUUAACCUUACAUCGGCUACUCUAGGCGCAGUUCAUACUGUUGUACAAAAUGUAUUCAUUUGGUUCUGCACAUGCAAGAACAUGUCUUUGCAUGCAGGUAUCGUUUAGAAAUAUUGUCAUAGUAAAAGGACUCAAUUUAAAAGAAAAAAUGGUUGUGAGAAUGUUAUCAAACUUUACAUGGGUCACACACAUUUCAGAUAUUUAGCAAACCAACCAUCAAUUAAACAACUUGUUUAUGGUAAUUUUUUAAUGUAUUUGUUAGAAUGAUAAAACACCUAGCAGAUACAUAAAAAUAAGCUUUGAAAAAUAUUGCAAUUUCAUUUCUGUAUUGCAAUACAAAACAAUAUGCCUGUGUAAAGUGAUAUGUAUUGUGACAGACUUUAUACAUAAAGACCAGGUUUGGUGGCCUGUGUAAAGUGAUAUGUAAUGUGACAGACUUUAUACAUAAAGAUCAGGUUUGGUGGCCUGUGUAAAGUGAUAUGUAUUGUGACAGACUUUAUACAUAAAGUCCAGGUUUGUUGGCCUGUGUAAAGUGAUAUGUAUUGUGCCAGGCUUUAUACAUAAAGACCAGGUUUGGUGGUCUGUGUAAAGUGAUAUGUAUUGUGACAGCCUUUAUACAUAAAGACCAGGUUUGGUGGCCUGUGUAGGG